AGACCCGAAACCCGGUGAUCUAGCCAUGGGCAGGUUGAAGGUUGGGUAACACUAACUGGAGGACCGAACCGACUAAUGUUGAAAAAUUAGCGGAUGACCUGUGGCUGGGGGUGAAAGGCCAAUCAAACCGGGAGAUAGCUGGUUCUCCCCGAAAGCUAUUUAGGUAGCGCCUCGUGAAUUCAUCUCCGGGGGUAGAGCACUGUUUCGGCUAGGGGGCCAUCCCGGCUUACCAACCCGAUGCAAACUGCGAAUACCGGAGAAUGUUAUCACGGGAGACACACGGCGGGUGCUAACGUCCGUCGUGAAGAGGGAAACAACCCAGACCGCCAGCUAAGGUCCCAAAGUCAUGGUUAAGUGGGAAACGAUGUGGGAAGGCCCAGACAGCCAGGAUGUUGGCUUAGAAGCAGCCAUCAUUUAAAGAAAGCGUAAUAGCUCACUGGUCGAGUCGGCCUGCGCGGAAGAUGUAACGGGGCUAAACCAUGCACCGAAGCUGCGGCAGCGAACGUAUCACCCAAGACAACUUUACGGAGUUGACGAUUGACGGAGCGAAGCGACGUCAAAGCGUUCAU
Molecule: ribosomal RNA, 569 nt
Filed under: Salmonella enterica
Lineage: Bacteria; Pseudomonadati; Pseudomonadota; Gammaproteobacteria; Enterobacterales; Enterobacteriaceae
Also listed under: 4 other names
Description: partial 23S ribosomal RNA
Rfam family: Bacterial large subunit ribosomal RNA
Source: RNAcentral